UACGAAGGGGGCGAGCGUUGUUCGGAUUUACUGGGCGUAAAGGGCGCGUAGGCGGCCCUCCUUGUCGCGUGUGAAAGCCCCGGGCUCAACCUGGGAACGGCGCGCGAGACGGGGGGGCUGGAGUUCGGGAGAGGAGCGUGGAAUUCCCAGUGUAGAGGUGAAAUUCGUAGAUAUCGGGAGGAACACCGGUGGCGAAGGCGGUUCUCUGGGCCUGACCUGACGCUGAGGAGCGAAAGCGUGGGGAGCGAACAGG
Molecule: ribosomal RNA, 253 nt
Filed under: uncultured bacterium
Lineage: Bacteria
Description: partial 16S ribosomal RNA
Rfam family: Bacterial small subunit ribosomal RNA
Source: RNAcentral